GUCAGGGUUUAUCAUCAUUCCUGUGGGUUUAGUGACACUGUUAAUCAUUGUUGUGGUGAUCAUCAGAUGGAAGAAAAUUAAAGAAAACAAAACACAAAGUGGCAACAACACGGGACUGAGCUUAAACCCUG
Non-coding RNA from Neolamprologus brichardi, 131 nucleotides. The record is from RefSeq and is a predicted model, not a curated record. Lineage: Eukaryota; Metazoa; Chordata; Actinopteri; Cichliformes; Cichlidae.